AGUGGUAUGGCUAAGUGGUUAAGACGUUGGACUUAUGCUCGGAAGAUUGAGAGUUCAAAAUCUAGCACCA
This is a non-coding RNA of Pangasianodon gigas (Mekong giant catfish), 70 nucleotides long. The record is from the annotation of a GenBank genome assembly. Lineage: Eukaryota; Metazoa; Chordata; Actinopteri; Siluriformes; Pangasiidae.